UUCAGCAGCCCACUUCUGGGAUACCAGCAGGAAAUGGACAGUGGAGCACAGGACUAUGCAACGUUUGUGACGACAUGACUAUCUGUUGAAGAAAUAUUCUUCACAUCAAGGCAACUAUGCAUCUGGAUUCAGCAGCCCUGAAUAUUUUUAGCCUGCAUACAAUGCAAAACUUUUGAAAUGCAAGAUUUUCAUAUUCAUUUAAACAUUUCAUGCUUGUGCAAAGAUUUGCAAAUGAGACAGUAAUAAACUAAAUGCAAUGUAACUGAGUAAACAGCAAUGUUUAUGUAUGAUUACAAAGAGAAUUUAAUGAGGUUUAAACUGUUUUGUGUAAAUUGUGACAAUAAUAGCUUUGGCUCAAAAUUAUUUGACCGUUUAAAGUCCACUCUGGAUGCCAGGCUUGUUGUAAUGAGAGGUAGCACUUUCUCUUGUAGCAGGUUGUGGGCUAAGGUUUAACACUUGGAUCUGAACAUGUGAUUUACGAUGAAAUCAGAGCUGAACGUGCUCUAAGAGGCCUUCAUCUGUUCCCUCACACGCUGUUUUCCAAUCACAUGGACAAUUUGAAGAAAAGCCAAGGCAAUUUCCAUCUCCAGUGUCUUGUUCAAUGUUUACAACAAAAACCAUCAAUACAGAUUUUCUGCCAACUUGUUUCAUCAAUGUUUCUGGGCUAUUAUUUUAUCACAUUUUCUACAUCAGUGUUUCUCAAAGCUUUCGUUGAAGCAUUCCUUACCAUAGAGAUAGGUAAUAAUGGACCCCCUCAUCUCAAUUAUCACACCAUACAACACAGUGAGUCAGCAUCUACAAUUGUGGUCGCAUUGCUGAAAAUUGAUGCUUUAAGUUGUGAGAAGCACUUGUGAAGUUUGUUGUUUCUGCAAAAAUCACAAGGCUGAGUCAUGAGGGUGGGGGGGUAUAUGUUAAGCUAGAUAUGCUUGCUUCUGCAAAAAUCGCAAGGCGGAAUCACGUGGGUGUAUACCAAGGAAUAACUAACGGUAAAGGGAGAUGGUCGACUGGUAGAAACAGAUGAAUUGACAUGACAGUUGCAAUUGUCAUACACAUAGGGAGUUAGUAUGGACAAGGUACCCAAAUAAGACCCAGUGUUGCGUCAGCAAAAUCAUAAAACUCAGCUAUCAAGGGGGGUGGUUACAUGUCAACAACAGGCCUCAGACAGAUGUGGUAAACCGAUUAGAUUAGCCAUUGCAAAGAGAAAUACAAAUAGCACGUAUGAGGUAAAAGGGGAGUACUGAGAGACUCAACUGAACUGUAUAAAUUGUAAUGCGACCCCCUGAUUGGGUGUGACUACAUUGUGGUCACCCGGCUUGCAAGACCGUGUGAAUAAAGACUGCUUCAGAA
Hemiscyllium ocellatum (epaulette shark) is the source of this 1347-nucleotide long non-coding RNA. RefSeq lists it as uncharacterized. The record is from RefSeq and is a predicted model, not a curated record. The transcript has 2 exons. NCBI's taxonomy places the organism in Eukaryota, Metazoa, Chordata, Chondrichthyes, Orectolobiformes, Hemiscylliidae.